This 73-nucleotide transfer RNA is filed under the name Zea mays. It matches the Rfam family "tRNA". Rfam says of the family: Transfer RNA (tRNA) molecules are approximately 80 nucleotides in length. Their secondary structure includes four short double-helical elements and three loops (D, anti-codon, and T loops). Lineage: Eukaryota; Viridiplantae; Streptophyta; Magnoliopsida; Poales; Poaceae. The record is from Rfam by way of RNAcentral.
GCUUGUCUAGCUCAGUUGGCAGAGCGCAAGGCUCUUAACCUUAAGGUUGUGGGUUCGAGCCUCACAGUGAACA